This 493-nucleotide ribosomal RNA is filed under the name uncultured bacterium. RNAcentral's name for it is "bacterial SSU rRNA". It matches the Rfam family "Bacterial small subunit ribosomal RNA", at positions 899 to 1397 of the family's 1533-position model. The record is from RNAcentral.
ACUCAAAUGAAUUGACGGGGACCCGCACAAGCAGCGGAGCAUGUGGUUUAAUUCGAAGCAACGCGAAGAACCUUACCAAGACUUGACAUUGCGUGACAGGUAUAGAAAUAUACCCUCCUUCGGGCACGCGGACAGGUGGUGCAUGGUUGUCGUCAGCUCGUGUCGUGAGAUGUUCGGUUAAGUCCGGCAACGAGCGCAACCCUUAUGAUAUGUUGCCAAUAUUAAGUUAGGAACUCAUAUCAGACUGCCGUGGAUAACACGGAGGAAGGUGGGGAUGACGUCAAAUCAUCAUGCCCCUUACGUCUUGGGCUACACACGUGCUACAAUGGGCGCUACAAAGAGCAGCAAAACUGCAAAGUCGAGCGAAUCUCAAAAAAGCGUUCUCAGUUCGGAUUGAGGGCUGAAACCCGCCCUCAUGAAGUCGGAGUUGCUAGUAAUCCCAAAUCAGAACGUUGGGGUGAAUGCGUUCCCGGGUCUUGCACACACCGCCCGU